UACGUAGGGCGCAAGCGUUGUCCGGAAUUAUUGGGCGUAAAGAGCUCGUAGGCGGUUUGUCGCGUCUGCUGUGAAAACCUGAGGCUCAACCUCGGGCUUGCAGUGGGUACGGGCAGACUAGAGUGCGGUAGGGGAGACUGGGAUUCCUGGUGUAGCGGUGAAAUGCGCAGAUAUCAGGAGGAACACCGGUGGCGAAGGCGGGUCUCUGGGCCGUAACUGACGCUGAGGAGCGAAAGCGUGGGGAGCGAACAGG
Molecule: ribosomal RNA, 253 nt
Filed under: uncultured bacterium
Lineage: Bacteria
Description: partial 16S ribosomal RNA
Rfam family: Bacterial small subunit ribosomal RNA
Source: RNAcentral